This 77-nucleotide transfer RNA is filed under the name Gammaproteobacteria bacterium. Its description in RNAcentral is "tRNA-Pro". It matches the Rfam family "tRNA". From Rfam's summary of the family: Transfer RNA (tRNA) molecules are approximately 80 nucleotides in length. Their secondary structure includes four short double-helical elements and three loops (D, anti-codon, and T loops). Lineage: Bacteria; Pseudomonadati; Pseudomonadota; Gammaproteobacteria. The record is from RNAcentral.
CGGGGCAUAGCGCAGCCCGGUAGCGCAUCUGCUUUGGGAGCAGAGGGUCGGGAGUUCGAAUCUCUCUGCCCCGACCA